GAGGAGAGUAUCCUAAGGCCAGCGAGAGAACUGUUGUUAAGGAACUCGGCAAAAUGACCCCGUAACUUAGGGAUAAGGGGUGCCACCAUCAGGUGGCCGCAGAGAAUAGGCCCAAGCGACUGUUUACCAAAAACAUAGGUUUCUGCUAAGUCGCAAGACGAUGUAUAGGAGCUGACGCCUGCCCGGUGCUGGAAGGUUAAGGGGAUCUGUUAGAGCAAUCGAAGCAGUGAACUUAAGCCCCAGUAAACGGCGGCCGUAACUAUAACGGUCCUAAGGUAGCGAAAUUCCUUGUCGGGUAAGUUCCGACCCGCACGAAAGGCGUAACGAUUUGGGCACUGUCUCAACAACAGACUCGGUGAAAUUGUAAUUCCGGUGAAGAUGCCGGAUACCUGCGACAGGACGGAAAGACCCCAUGGAGCUUUACUGUAGCUUGACAUUGGGUCUUGGUACUACAUGUACAGGAUAGGUGGGAGGCUUUGAAACCAGGACGCCAGUUUUGGCGGAGCCAUCCUUGGGAUACCACCCUUGUAGUACUGGGACUCUAACCAUAGGCCAUGAAUCUGGUCUUGGGACACUGUCAGGUGGGCAGUUUGACUGGGGCGGUCGCCUCCCAAAAGGUAACGGAGGCGCUCAAAGGUUCUCUCAGUACGGUCGGAAAUCGUACGUAGAGUGUAAAGGCAAAAGAGAGCUUGAUUGCAAGACAUACAGGUCGAGCAAGGAUGAAAAUCGGACUUAGUGAUCCGGUGGUUCUGCGUGGAAGGGCCAUCGCUCAACGGAUAAAAGCUACCCUGGGGAUAACAGGCUUAUCUCCCCCAAGAGUCCACAUCGACGGGGAGGUUUGGCACCUCGAUGUCGGCUCAUCACAUCCUGGGGCUGUAGUAGGUCCCAAGGGUUGGGCUGUUCGCCCAUUAAAGUGGUACGCGAGCUGGGUUCAGAACGUCGUG
RNAcentral lists this ribosomal RNA (944 nucleotides) under Clostridioides difficile. RNAcentral's name for it is "partial 23S ribosomal RNA". It matches the Rfam family "Bacterial large subunit ribosomal RNA", at positions 1669 to 2623 of the family's 2925-position model. The record is from RNAcentral. Lineage: Bacteria; Bacillati; Bacillota; Clostridia; Peptostreptococcales; Peptostreptococcaceae.